AUGCAAGGAAAGAAGAAAGAGAAAAUUAAAACAAAAGCCAGUUCACUUUCUGACACUUCCAUUCUUGAAAAGUUUAUGAAAACCUAUGAAAGGCACUGUGCCUUUUCCCAAAGCUCUGUCAGUGGCACGAUCAAACGGAGCUUGAGAAAAUGCAUAGAAAAUGAAACUAUUCUUACAAAGUUUGUGCUCACAAACUCUCAGAAUUCCCAGCCAGUCUUCCUCACACCUCUAUUAAGGACAAUUAGAGAUGAACGGUAUAUGUUAGGAAAGGAACUUUGUAUCUGGGGAAUUCAGCUAAACGAUCAAGACAUUGUAAACCUUGCAAUGCUUUUAGAGCGGAAUGGACAUACCAACUAUCCCUUUUGUACUCUAGAAAUAACUCAUGUUCCGAUAGAUGCAUGGUCCAUGGAGCGACUUGGAGCAGCUUUCCCUUUCAGCAACUUGAACUCCAUUGUUCUAGAUUAUACCAAGUUUGGAGAUAAAGGAAUCAAUGGACUUGUUUCUGGAUUAGAGGGAAACACAAAACUUCUAACCCUCAGCUUAUGCUACUGCAGUUUGGAACCUGAAAGUGGGUCCAAGUUAGGCCCCAUUGUAGCCCAAACUGCCAUUUGCAAUCUUUAUCUAAAUGGUAACAACUUGCAAUGUUUGGGUGCCCUUGAGCUCAUCACAUCAAUAGCUAUAUAUGCAGACAAUCUUGGAAGAGAUAAGGAAACAAAUACCUUCCUAUUCAACAAUUAUUCUGAUAAUCAAGUACCAGAAGCAGACAAAGAUUUGGGUAUCCACUCAACAGCUUCUGGCUUGAACGUUGCUUCCAAAACAGGAAACUCUAACACAGUGGAAAGUAGUAUGAGGAAGGAAAAGAAAAGAAAAGGAACUAAAAAAAAAGAAAAGAAAAGUGAAGUUGGCCCAUGGUUAGUUAAAUUGCAUUUGGCUGAUAAUGGUAUAGAUGGAAGAGGAAAGGGAGGAGAAAAGAUGGUCUUGGAGUUCACACAGUUUUUAACUUACCUAAUCAAACACUCUGAACACUUGAUAGAACUUGAUCUACAUGGCAACGCUAUAGGAGAACUUUGUGCAACAGACAUCCUGGAAGCUCUUAAGGAGAGAAAAAAAGACAAGAUGCCAGGCUUAAAUAUUAAGGUUACACCACAGAUUUCCUCAAAUACUUUCAAGUCAAUUUUCAAGAACAGCAAGAAGCUCAAAUCAACUAAAAAGAGAAUGAAAAAGGGCCUACUUCAAACACUUCAGGCACAUAAGUAGUGCCAUUGAAGUCAACAGGACUACUUGUGUGCUACUAUGUGUAUAUGCAUAACCAUUUUCAAGAUCGAGAUCUCAGCAUAACUUAUUUCAGAUACACCAAUUAUGUAUUCAUUUGGAAUAAGAUUGUGACAUCCUAUACCUUGAGAUGGGGGGCAUCCUGGAACCCCCACAUUCCCAUGAUCUUGCAUAUAAAGCAUGCCUUAUAAGGUAUCAGGGAAAGGUUAUGAUAUGCUGAAAGUCAUUUAUCUAUCUAUAUAUGUAUAUCAUUAAUGCAUCUGAAGUUAUGAGAAUUAUGUUGUAUGGUGGUCACUACAACAUGCUGUAAGUUGGGGAAUCAGUCAGAUAUUAGCUUCCCAGAGGCAACAGCAAGGAAAGUAGCCAACACCUGAGUGCAGUGUCAAUCAAUCCAUCAAUAAUCAUUGUCCAGCAAGGGAGCUACAAUGCAAUGACUCACCUGCAUGAGGCCACACCAGGGGAAUUGCUCAACCUUGCUUGGAGAGACUUACCAAUGCACCCAGACAUGCCUGGACUUGUGUUUUCCAAGCAAAUGGACUGAAGAUAUAAAACCAAACACAGGGGGCCCAGGCUGGGCCUUCUUCCUUCACCUACCUAUGCUGCAAGCAACAAGGACACACUGAAGACUCCAACUGAGGGGACUGGCCUAGAUUUCAAGGAUGAAAUCUGUGUACUAUGAACUGCAAUAUCCAGGUGGGUGAGAAAAACUGCUUAAUCUAGAUGUUGCCCAGUCUAAUAAGGUUGAGAGUUUAGACUGAAUGCUUAUAUUUUAUUUUAUUUUGGUAACCACUCUGACUUUUUGCCUAUCACUUGAUAUCACUUAAAAUCUAUUUUUGUAGUCAAUAAAUUUGUUAAAGUGUUUGUCUUUACCA
Molecule: long non-coding RNA, 2144 nt
Filed under: Gopherus agassizii (Agassiz's desert tortoise)
Lineage: Eukaryota; Metazoa; Chordata; Testudines; Testudinidae
Description: lncRNA (ENSGAGG00000024829.1)
Source: RNAcentral